RNAcentral lists this long non-coding RNA (340 nucleotides) under Coffea arabica (coffee). RNAcentral's name for it is "long non-coding RNA (CARA_LNC001147)". The record is from RNAcentral. Lineage: Eukaryota; Viridiplantae; Streptophyta; Magnoliopsida; Gentianales; Rubiaceae.
UUCAAUUUUUAUGUGUGUUUGAUCUAAAUUUUGUAAUUAUUUGGAGGAUGUUUAAAUAGCUCAAGAUGUAAUAGAUAGGUGAUAUUUUUGCAAAAAGUUAUAAUUAGAUAGGCCAAUGUAAUAGAUAGGAUAGAUAGAUUUAUUUUAUUAUUUUAGAUUAUAGUUAGGUUCCUCAUUGUAAAAGAUAGGAUAGAUAUGUUCAUUUUGUUAUAUUUUCCCAUUUUAGAUUGUCGUUAGAUUCCCCAUUGUAAUAGAUAGGUUGUGUGUGUUUAUGUGUCCUACAUUCUUAUGUGUUAUAACCGCUUUUCUUAGAAUUUUACAUCUAGAUAUUAUAUUUAUA